UCGAGAGAUUAAAUUUAAUAAAGAUUGAUUAUGCUAUUAGAUUAAAUUAAUCGGAAUUAAAAUUUAUCUCAUAUUUUGAUAUUGAGAUAAGCUUGUUGGGAUUUAAUGGAAAAUUUGGAGAAAUUUCCAUUAAAUAAAAUAAAUGAUUUUAAAAUGGAUAUUUAAAUAAUAUCCGCAAAUUUUAUUAUUUGGAUUAUUAUAAGAGAAUCCAUAAAUAAUUGGAAUAUUCUUUUUAAAUACGGGUUUAAGCACGACAAGUGAAUUAUACGGUUAAAUAAUAAAAAUUUAAAGGAAAAAGGCAAUAAUUAAUAUGUUUGGAUUAGUUAAAAGGACUCCGUAUAAUUUAUAGUCGUUAAAAAAAAAAAAUUGGAUUUCAGCUCGGUACAAAAACGACUUGGUUAAUUCUAAGAUUAUUACCUAAGGAUUUUAAAUUAGAAAUUGAAUGGUGAAAGUUAACAACUUAAAGGACCUAAAGAAGCAUUUUGCCAAGCCAUUUGUGUCAUUUACAUAUGAAUAUUUGUUCUUCAAAUAUUCAUUUCCAGCAAACAUAAAGAGAAGAAGAACUCCAUCUUCUCUAAAUUUCUUAAAACUUCUAUUCAUCACCAAAGCUUCAUUUCUUGUCCGUUUUGAGCGAUUUUCGCGGCGUUGGAACGAGGGAAGGAUUUCCUACUGAUCUAAGGCUUCAAUUCAAGAUUCUACGAACCAUAUGACUGAUGAUUUGAAGGAAGUGGGUGAUUAAACGACGUGCCGUUCAUUUUAUUUGCUUGUUAUUAUAUUUGGAUUAAGCGAUCGAGUGUUUUCUUUCAGGAUUAAUACUUGAUGAUGUGGUCGAGCUUCCAACCAUUGUUCCGGAAGUCUCAAUUAUGGGGAGUCUUAUUUUUCUUAGAGCUGCAGUAGUCAAGAUAUUAGAGUUAGCUUGUAGCAAACAAUUUACGUUUAUUUUAUGCCAUGACAUAAUGAUGUAUUUUGGGAAAAUGAAUUAUCCAGAAAUUUAAUAUAUGGUUAAUUGGUAUUUUAUACAGAGUGGUUUGUGCGUUUUCACAGGUGUGGUUUAUUAAGUUUACAGGCGUUAUAUUGCCGAUUUUUCGAAAAUGGUUUUAUUAAGUAUUAUAACGAUUUUGAUACGCGAAAUUUUUUUUGGUAAAUUUAGGCUUGCUACGGGUUUCGGAACCAAAAUUCCCAUUCCCUAGCGCCGGUCGUGGCCCUCGAUUUCGGGUCGUGACAAAUGUGGUAUCAGAGCAGUUGGUCCAGGAUACCACUGCUUUGUGUGAGUCUACCUAGGAAACUACUGCAGCACAUAGGAUUCGAGUCAUGUCUUUUGCAGGUUGUCUUCUGUUCUCUAUAGUUUCAACCUUCCUAUUUAGGAUAUAAGCCGCAAUUAUCGUGUGAUACUGCGUGCGAAUUAAAUAAUUAGUAUUUAUGCGACUUGGUGACUAGGCUUAGGUAGGAAGUAAUGUAUAGUGUGGGGAUGUUAUGAUAAGCAUACGAUAUAAGCGUUUGCGGAUGACUGAUAGAAAGGUGUAGAUUUAAAGAAGCGGAAGAACUUACCAAGUUACAGAGUUAAAGUCUGGAGAACUUACAAAGUUAAAAGUUUAUGAAUUAAAGUUAAUUGUUUAAACGAUUUUAAAAGCAUAAUUGUGCCUAGACCCGAGAUAGAAAUGCAUUAUUGCCACGACAUGAAUAGAACUGCAUCACUACAUACACAUUAAAUGGAAAGAAUAAUAAAUGAAUUCAUACAUUAGUAGGACAUGCAUCAUGCUCAUUUGGCCUAGACAAAAGGUAAGUUGUGGCAACUCCUUGGGGAUGAGAGACGUCAUCACCCUAGAGCACAAUUAUGCUAAUCUUUAAAGGAUUUGAAUGUGAUUUUUAUAAAGGGUCAUUUUCUUUGAAUUGCAAAGAUAUUUGAAUUAUUUUUUUUUAAGAGGUUGGUAUUAAACGUAAGUAUACCUAGACCGAAACUCUGUAACGAAGGUAAAAUGCUCGAGGUUAGGUUACAAGCAACUCUAAAAGGCACGACAAACGUGUAUUAAAACACAAAAUGAAGAAUUGUGUUUUGAAUAUACAACGUUGGUAGUAGUUCAACGAACUAUAGUGUGAGUAGAAUAGUAAGGCGUAUCUGUAUAGCGAUAUAUAUAUAUGAUUAAGCAAUGAGUUAAGAUUUUCUUAUCUGUAAAUGAGGUGUUUAGUACAUCAUGCUAUCAGAUAAUAGAUGUAUAAAGGAAGAUAACCAAACCUAUUAAACGAAUUGUAAGACCAAAGUUGUAGAUUUACAAGACGAUCUCUACUAAUUAAAGAAGCGAAUUUUAAGCGAUAUCGGAGAAUCGCCAAGAUUAGUAAAACUAAAGUAUCUUUUAAUGGAACCGUUGGAUCGGUUUGACGCUGGAGUAUGACCUUCCUAAGAAGAUCAUUUAGAAAUGAACUGCGGUGAUUGUCAAACGAAGAGUUAGGCAACAUGUUUAUAAAAAGUAGUACUAUAAGAUUUAUAUAUAUAUAGAAAGGACCAAGUUAUAAGAAUAUAUAGUAUAUUAAGAGUAUUAAUGGAAAUUCUGUAUAGAUACGAAUACUAUGAAGUAUUUGGUUAAUGAGAUUAAGAGACGAGACAUGUGUAUUAUACGGAGAAAGUUAGGAAAUUAGAAGUGCUGAUUAAGGAAUUAAGGAACGUAAUUAUAAGGUCAUGAGAAUCCUAAUAGCAAAGAAUGAAAGUUAUACUACGGUAGCUAUAAAAGAUUGUCGGUGACUCAUAAAGGAGAACGUGAACACUGCGUGUGAAAGGUUAGCACAUGUUUCAUAUCGCAGAUGGUACCAAAUAUAUUAUUUGAGGAUUUAUAUAUUAGAACCAAUGAAGGAAUCAAAGUAAAUUAAUGUUUAAAGUAUAUAAUGUAUUAAAGACGAAGGUAACUGGAUAAGAACAUAAGCCGUAAUGAUAGUUAUGAAUAAGGAAUUGAAGAGGGUAAACUUUCAGAAUUAGUUACUCUACAGUUGAAACUAUAGGGAAUAAAAUGAGGAAAGGGUAUGAUGUAUGUUAAAUGAUAUCUAGUAUAGAUCCAACUCCAUAAGAUUCAAUACGAGAGAUCAUGAAAUGGGUAAUUGGUAUCAAAGAAGGAAUAUACCCAUCUACUAUAGAACAACGAUAAAGAUAUCAUGUAUAAACAUGUACAUGAUUGAACGUAAAGAAGGCGGAAAACGUUAAGAAACGUGACGUCGAACUUCGCUGAAUUUAUAUAUUAAAAGAUAAGUGUUGAAACAGGAUAUGAGAAAUGACUCAGGACGGAAUAAUACAAAUUAUUUGUAAAUUUUUUAGAAAUGAUGAAGGCAUAUGAUUUGAAAAAAAAAAAAGAUACAUGAAAGACGCAAAGGUAUGCAAACCUAAUGGAAAAGAUUGAAGUAACGGAACUUCACAAGUACUAAAGCUAAUUGCAGGAUAGUUAAAUCAUGUUUUAUAAUAAGUCUUAUUUAAUUAUGUGCCCGGAUCAAUGAAGUAAGACGGAAGGAUGGUAUAUGAGUUGUAAAACUUUAAGGAAGAGACAAGCCAUUAAAGUAGUUGUAUAAAGUCGUAGUAGAGGAAGAGAUAUGGAGGAGCGAGUAAGCAUGUUAGCUGUCAGCGUUAAAUUAUUAAUGAAUUUAUAAUAUAAGGUUCAGGCGUCCGCAAAAUGGAUACAGACACUAAAUAAAGAUAUUUUGAUGGAUUAUUCAUUGUCAAGGUGAGGUGAAGGUGAAUGUGACUACGAACAUUUCAUAUGGAUUUUGGUUAUAUAUCAAGUGGGAUAAUCCAAAACUUAUAACUACGUUUGGACUAGUAGUUAAUUUCGAAAAAGUUCAAAGAAUUCAACUAAAGAGACUACAUGUCAAAUUAAGAAAAGUUUAGAUGCCCGAGGUAGGUAGUUUGGACAAGUUUUCCGACCCCUAACGCUUGUCAAAGUCAAUUCAAAUCUCAAUGGAAAUUGUAGAGAAAGUGCAAAGAGUGCGUUUAAAGAAAGUAAUAGACAAUUGGACGAUUUUAAGCGUUUCAUUUAAUGGUUUAAAGUUACCAUUAAAUCAUUAACAUUUUGGAAUACAUUGACUUUGAUAGAAGCUAUAAUAUCAAAAUUUCAACAAUUAGAAUACCAUGAAUUUAUUUGUGGAAGAAGUUGUAGUUCGUUUGAGUUUAAAACGCAAUUUUACAUUGCGAAUUAGUUAACGUUAAGAGAGUUAUCGUAUUUAGGAUGUGAAAAUAAAGAUCGUAAUAGGUGUUCGAGAUAGCUAUUUUAGAGGUAAUUUUGGACAUGUUCGCAAAAGUUUUUCGUAAAAGUUCUUAGUAAUAUGCAGAAGAGGAUAUGUCGGAAAGGAUAACGACAAGCCCAAAUUAAUCCCGAAAAGUAAGACCUGCCUUAGGCAAGCAGGCAAACAUACACAUUUAAGUAAGCCUAUAAAUUAAAGGUUAAGUAUAUUUUAAAGCUAACCUACGAAGACUAUUUCUGGAUCAAUUUCCGAUCUCAAGAUGUGCUAUUUUGGACAUGAGAACAAAAUGAAAGUUGUAGACGGCCUUGCAUAGAAUGAGUUUCAAGUGACAAACUAAAAUUUGGACAGAUUCUGGACGUUGGUUUUGUGGCCUGAAGUGGGCUAAAAACCUAAAAAUUUUACGAAGUUGAGAAAAAGUGAUUUUUAGUUAGUUUGGAAAACUAACUACAUGAUAUAUGAAUAACAUAAAAUAAAAUAAGUAUAAGUUUUAGAGAAUCAUAGAAUAAAAUAUUCUAUGAGAUUGUGCCCCGAGAAAGUGACGGAAGUAAUCAGUACUACUGAAGAAAAAGGCGAUAUUAAAAACAAAUUGGACGAUAAAUAUAAUAAGAAAAUUCGAGGACGAAUUUUUUUUAAGGGGGGAAGAAUGUAAUACCCCGUAUUUUUGGAAAAGUAUUUGAUUGGAUUAAUUAUAUUAUUUUAGCCAAUUGGAGCUAAAAUAAGAGAAUUUCCGUAAAUAAGACGGAAAAUAGAAUUUUAUCGAGAGAUUAAAUUUAAUAAAGAUUGAUUAUGCUAUUAGAUUAAAUUAAUCGGAAUUAAAAUUUAUCUCAUAUUUUGAUAUUGAGAUAAGCUUGUUGGGAUUUAAUGGAAAAUUUGGAGAAAUUUCCAUUAAAUAAAAUAAAUGAUUUUAAAAUGGAUAUUUAAAUAAUAUCCGCAAAUUUUAUUAUUUGGAUUAUUAUAAGAGAAUCCAUAAAUAAUUGGAAUAUUCUUUUUAAAUACGGGUUUAAGCACGACAAGUGAAUUAUACGGUUAAAUAAUAAAAAUUUAAAGGAAAAAGGCAAUAAUUAAUAUGUUUGGAUUAGUUAAAAGGACUCCGUAUAAUUUAUAGUCGUUAAAAAAAAAAAUUGGAUUUCAGCUCGGUACAAAAACGACUUGGUUAAUUCUAAGAUUAUUACCUAAGGAUUUUAAAUUAGAAAUUGAAUGGUGAAAGUUAACAACUUAAAGGACCUAAAGAAGCAUUUUGCCAAGCCAUUUGUGUCAUUUACAUAUGAAUAUUUGUUCUUCAAAUAUUCAUUUCCAGCAAACAUAAAGAGAAGAAGAACUCCAUCUUCUCUAAAUUUCUUAAAACUUCUAUUCAUCACCAAAGCUUCAUUUCUUGUCCGUUUUGAGCGAUUUUCGCGGCGUUGGAACGAGGGAAGGAUUUCCUACUGAUCUAAGGCUUCAAUUCAAGAUUCUACGAACCAUAUGACUGAUGAUUUGAAGGAAGUGGGUGAUUAAACGACGUGCCGUUCAUUUUAUUUGCUUGUUAUUAUAUUUGGACUAAGCGAUCGAGUGUUUUCUUUCAGGAUUAAUACUUGAUGAUGUGGUCGAGCUUCCAACCAUUGUUCCGGAAGUCUCAAUUAUGGGGAGUCUUAUUUUUCUUAGAGCUGCAGUAGUCAAGAUAUUAGAGUUAGCUUGUAGCAAACAAUUUACGUUUAUUUUAUGCCAUGACAUAAUGAUGUAUUUUGGGAAAAUGAAUUAUCCAGAAAUUUAAUAUAUGGUUAAUUGGUAUUUUAUA
Molecule: long non-coding RNA, 5992 nt
Organism: Mercurialis annua (annual mercury)
Lineage: Eukaryota; Viridiplantae; Streptophyta; Magnoliopsida; Malpighiales; Euphorbiaceae
Exons: 5
Source: RefSeq, a predicted model, not a curated record